UAAUUUGCGCAGUGGCAGUAUCGUAGCCAAUGAGGUUUACCCAAGGUGCGAUUAUUGCUAAUUGAAAAUAAUAAUUUAGCCAAAAUUCCCAAACACAGGGGUUUUAAAUAUCAAUUCAUAUUC
RNAcentral lists this small nuclear RNA (123 nucleotides) under Zalophus californianus (California sea lion). RNAcentral's name for it is "U4 spliceosomal RNA (ENSZCAG00015020802.1)". It matches the Rfam family "U4 spliceosomal RNA". Rfam says of the family: U4 small nuclear RNA (U4 snRNA) is a component of the major U2-dependent spliceosome. The structure of U4 snRNA from yeast and human has been reported. The record is from RNAcentral. Lineage: Eukaryota; Metazoa; Chordata; Mammalia; Carnivora; Otariidae.